RNAcentral lists this non-coding RNA (325 nucleotides) under Bacillus sp. SA1-12. RNAcentral describes it as "bacterial LSU rRNA". It matches the Rfam family "Bacterial large subunit ribosomal RNA", at positions 2299 to 2623 of the family's 2925-position model. Lineage: Bacteria; Bacillati; Bacillota; Bacilli; Caryophanales; Bacillaceae. The record is from RNAcentral.
AACGGAGGCGCCCAAAGGUUCCCUCAGAAUGGUUGGAAAUCAUUCGCAGAGUGUAAAGGCACAAGGGAGCUUGACUGCGAGACCUACAAGUCGGGCAGGGACGAAAGUCGGGCUUAGUGAUCCGGUGGUUCCGCAUGGAAGGGCCAUCGCUCAACGGAUAAAAGCUACCCCGGGGAUAACAGGCUUAUCUCCCCCAAGAGUCCACAUCGACGGGGAGGUUUGGCACCUCGAUGUCGGCUCAUCGCAUCCUGGGGCUGUAGUCGGUCCCAAGGGUUGGGCUGUUCGCCCAUUAAAGCGGUACGCGAGCUGGGUUCAGAACGUCGUG